GGGCGUUUGGUUUAGGGGUAUAAUGUUCGCUUCGCACUACAGCUGCUUGCGAAAGGUCGCCGGUUCGAUUCCGGCAUCGUCCA
Molecule: non-coding RNA, 83 nt
Organism: Diaporthe citri
Lineage: Eukaryota; Fungi; Ascomycota; Sordariomycetes; Diaporthales; Diaporthaceae
Source: the annotation of a RefSeq genome assembly